Transfer RNA from Basidiobolus meristosporus CBS 931.73, 71 nucleotides. It matches the Rfam family "tRNA". Rfam says of the family: Transfer RNA (tRNA) molecules are approximately 80 nucleotides in length. Their secondary structure includes four short double-helical elements and three loops (D, anti-codon, and T loops). The record is from Rfam. NCBI's taxonomy places the organism in Eukaryota, Fungi, Basidiobolomycota, Basidiobolomycetes, Basidiobolales, Basidiobolaceae.
GCAUACUUGGUUUAGUGGUAUAAUUACCGCCUGCCACGCGGUAGACCGGGGUUCGAUUCCCCGAGUAUGCA